RNAcentral lists this transfer RNA (77 nucleotides) under Sphaerodactylus townsendi. RNAcentral describes it as "tRNA-Ala". Lineage: Eukaryota; Metazoa; Chordata; Lepidosauria; Squamata; Sphaerodactylidae. The record is from RNAcentral.
GAGGCAGGCCAUGGCUCAGGGGUCGAGCAACUGCCUGGCAUGCAGAAAACCCUGGUUCGAUCCCCUGGGUUGCCUCU